UACGGAGGGUGCAAGCGUUAUCCGGAUUUAUUGGGUUUAAAGGGUACGUAGGCGGUGGAGUAAGUCAGUGGUGAAAGCCAACAGCUCAACUGUUGAACUGCCAUUGAUACUGCUUCACUUGAGUGCAGUUGAGGUGGGUGGAAUUCCAUGUGUAACGGUGAAAUGCUUAGAUAUAUGGAGGAACACCGAUAACGAAGGUAACUCACUAAACUGUAACUGACGCUGAGGUACGAAAGCGUGGGGAGCGAACGGG
RNAcentral lists this ribosomal RNA (253 nucleotides) under uncultured bacterium. RNAcentral's name for it is "partial 16S ribosomal RNA". It matches the Rfam family "Bacterial small subunit ribosomal RNA", at positions 524 to 776 of the family's 1533-position model. The record is from RNAcentral.